CCUGGCAAAUAUAGCACAAUGGACCCACCUGAUCCCAUUUCGAACUCAGAAGUGAAAUAUUGUAGUGCCGAUGGUAGUGUGAAAUUUUUUCGCGCGAGAGUAGGGAAUUGCCAGGU
This 116-nucleotide ribosomal RNA is filed under the name Candidatus Westeberhardia cardiocondylae. The record is from RNAcentral. Lineage: Bacteria; Pseudomonadati; Pseudomonadota; Gammaproteobacteria; Enterobacterales; Enterobacteriaceae.